CAGCACAUAUAUUGCUCCACUAAAAUUGGAACAAUACAGAGAUUAGCAUGUCCUGUACACAAGGACGGCAUGCCAAUUCAUGAAGAGUUCCAUAUUUUU
RNAcentral lists this small nuclear RNA (99 nucleotides) under Heterocephalus glaber (naked mole-rat). Lineage: Eukaryota; Metazoa; Chordata; Mammalia; Rodentia; Bathyergidae. The record is from RNAcentral.